Molecule: ribosomal RNA, 495 nt
Filed under: uncultured bacterium
Lineage: Bacteria
Description: partial 16S ribosomal RNA
Rfam family: Bacterial small subunit ribosomal RNA
Source: RNAcentral
GACGAACGCUGGCGGCGUGCCUAAUACAUGCAAGUAGAACGCUGAAGGAGGAGCUUGCUUCUCUGGAUGAGUUGCGAACGGGUGAGUAACGCGUAGGUAACCUGCCUGGUAGCGGGGGAUAACUAUUGGAAACGAUAGCUAAUACCGCAUAAGAGUAGAUGUUGCAUGACAUUUGCUUAAAAGGUGCAAUUGCAUCACUACCAGAUGGACCUGCGUUGUAUUAGCUAGUUGGUGAGGUAACGGCUCACCAAGGCAACGAUACAUAGCCGACCUGAGAGGGGGAUCGGCCACACUGGGACUGAGACACGGCCCAGACUGCUACGGGAGGCAGCAGUAGGGAAUCUUCGGCAAUGGACGGAAGUCUGACCGAGCAACGCCGCGUGAGUGAAGAAGGGUUUCGGAUCGUAAAGCUCUGUUGUAAGAGAAGAACGAGGGUGAGAGUGGAAAGUUCACACUGUGACGGUAGCUGACCAGAAAGAGACGGCUAACUACGUG